Podarcis lilfordi (Lilford's wall lizard) is the source of this 74-nucleotide non-coding RNA. NCBI's taxonomy places the organism in Eukaryota, Metazoa, Chordata, Lepidosauria, Squamata, Lacertidae. The record is from the annotation of a GenBank genome assembly.
GCCCGGAUAACUCAGUCGGUUAGAGCAUGGUGCUGAUAGCACCAAGGUUGAAGGUUCAAUCCCUGUAUGGGACA